Molecule: ribosomal RNA, 453 nt
Filed under: Triticum aestivum (bread wheat)
Lineage: Eukaryota; Viridiplantae; Streptophyta; Magnoliopsida; Poales; Poaceae
Description: partial small subunit ribosomal RNA
Source: RNAcentral
AUGGCGGAGCGGAAGCGACGGGAGAAGAUUAACCAGCGCUUCAUCGAGCUCUCCACCGUCAUCCCCGGCCUCAAGAAGAUGCACAAGGCGACGAUCCUUUCCGACGCAACGAGGCACAUCAAGGAGCUGCAGGCGAAGAUCAAGGCCCUCGACGCAGCCACCGGCCGCAGCAGCAGGAGCAUCGAGACCGUGGUGCGCGUCAAGAAGAAGCCGCGCCACGCCGCCGCCGCCCUCGUCCGCGUCGUCCUCUACGGGGAACCCGCUGCCGGAGAUCGAGGUGCGGUUCUCCGAGAACGGCGUGAUGUUGAGGAUCCUCUGCGACGACGUCCAGGGGGUGGUGGUGAGGGUGCUGGCGGAGGUGGAGGAGGGGCUCCACCUCACCGUCACCCACGCCAAUGUCAUGCCAUUCACGGCCUGCACUGUGAUCAUAACCAUCACGGCAAAGGUGGAUGA